UUAAAGAAAGCGUAAUAGCUCACUGGUCGAGUCGGCCUGCGCGGAAGAUGUAACGGGGCUAAGUAGUAAACCGAAGCUGCGGCAAUAUACUUUUGUAUAUUGGGUAGGGGAGCGUUCUGUAAGCGGUUGAAGGUGUGUGGUAACGCAUGCUGGACGUAUCAGAAGUGCGAAUGCUGACAUGAGUAACGAUAAAGGGGGUGAAAAACCUCCUCGCCGGAAGACCAAGGGUUCCUGUCCAACGUUAAUCGGGGCAGGGUAAGUCGACCCCUAAGGCGAGGCCGAAAGGCGUAGUCGAUGGGAAACGGGUUAAUAUUCCCGUACUUCUUACAAUUGCGAUGGGGGGGACGGAGAAGGCUAGGUGGGCCUGGCGACGGUUGUCCAGGUUCAAGUGCGUAGGCUUAAGAGUUAGGUAAA
Molecule: ribosomal RNA, 414 nt
Filed under: Vibrio parahaemolyticus
Lineage: Bacteria; Pseudomonadati; Pseudomonadota; Gammaproteobacteria; Vibrionales; Vibrionaceae
Description: partial 23S ribosomal RNA
Rfam family: Bacterial large subunit ribosomal RNA
Source: RNAcentral